CGGCGGACGGGUGAGUAACACGUGGGUAACCUACCUAUAAGACUGGGACAACUUCGGGAAACCGGAGCUAAUACCGGAUAAGAUAUCGAACCGCAUGGUUCGAUAGUGAAAGAUGGUUUUGCUAUCACUUAUAGAUGGACCCGCGCCGUAUUAGCUAGUUGGUGAGGUAAUGGCUCACCAAGGCAACGAUACGUAGCCGACCUGAAAGGGUGAUCGGCCACACUGGAACUGAGACACGGUCCAGACUCCUACGGGAGGCAGCAACU
This 266-nucleotide ribosomal RNA is filed under the name uncultured Staphylococcus sp. RNAcentral's name for it is "partial 16S ribosomal RNA". It matches the Rfam family "Bacterial small subunit ribosomal RNA", at positions 96 to 353 of the family's 1533-position model. Lineage: Bacteria; Bacillati; Bacillota; Bacilli; Caryophanales; Staphylococcaceae. The record is from RNAcentral.